Molecule: long non-coding RNA, 340 nt
Organism: Vigna unguiculata (cowpea)
Lineage: Eukaryota; Viridiplantae; Streptophyta; Magnoliopsida; Fabales; Fabaceae
Source: RefSeq, a predicted model, not a curated record
CGUAAAUAGAAACCUUGUGCUCCCUUGAGCUGCAGCCGUCACCUCUGUUAGGGUUUGGAAUCACCAUAGCUAAGCGAGCUCAAUCUCGUUCUUCCACUCCGCCUCUCAAAGUUACUCCUCGAACUAUUGUUUUCCACCGUUCGAGUAUCGGAGCUCUAGCUAACAUUUCCCAGAUGCGAGAAACACCUGCGGGCAACAGGGAGAUGAUGGUUCCGCUGCAUAAUCUGCAUGGCUGGAUCUUAGUUUCUUUGGGCUUUCUUUAGGGCUUUGUCCCAGGUAUUGCGAUAAGCUUUAUAACUCUACUUGUAUUUGUUAGACUUUUCAACCUUUUUGCUUUUGG